GACGAACGCUGGCGGCGUGCUUAACACAUGCAAGUCGAGCGGUAAGGCCCUUUCGGGGGUACACGAGCGGCGAACGGGUGAGUAACACGUGGGUGACCUGCCCUCAGCUCUGGGAUAAGCCUGGGAAACCGGGUCUAAUACUGGAUAUGACUCCAUGACGCAUGUUGUGGGGUGGAAAGCCUUGUGCGGCUGAGGAUGGGCCCGCGGCCUAUCAGCUUGUUGGUGGGGUGAGGCCUACCAAGGCGACGACGGGUAGCCGGCCUGAGAGGGCGACCGGCCACACUGGGACUGAGACACAGCCCAGACUCCUACGGGAGGCAGCAGUGGGGAAUCUUGCGCAAUGGGCGAAAGCCUGACGCAGCGACGCCGCGUGAGGGAUGACGGCCUCGGUUGUAA
This 396-nucleotide ribosomal RNA is filed under the name uncultured bacterium. Its description in RNAcentral is "bacterial SSU rRNA". It matches the Rfam family "Bacterial small subunit ribosomal RNA", at positions 28 to 428 of the family's 1533-position model. The record is from RNAcentral.